RNAcentral lists this ribosomal RNA (253 nucleotides) under uncultured bacterium. RNAcentral describes it as "partial 16S ribosomal RNA". It matches the Rfam family "Bacterial small subunit ribosomal RNA", at positions 524 to 776 of the family's 1533-position model. The record is from RNAcentral.
UACAGAGGGGGCAAGCGUUAUUCGGAAUUAUUGGGCGUAAAGGGCGCGUAGGCGGCCUGGCAAGUGACGGGUGAAAGCCCUCGGCUCAACCGAGGAACUGCCUGUCAUACUGCCGGGCUUGAGUCCGGGAGAGGUGAGUGGAAUUCCCAGUGUAGCGGUGAAAUGCGUAGAUAUUGGGAGGAACACCAGUGGCGAAGGCGGCUCACUGGACCGGAACUGACGCUGAGGUGCGAAAGCGUGGGGAGCAAACAGG